Molecule: long non-coding RNA, 1387 nt
Organism: Oreochromis niloticus (Nile tilapia)
Lineage: Eukaryota; Metazoa; Chordata; Actinopteri; Cichliformes; Cichlidae
Exons: 4
Source: RefSeq, a predicted model, not a curated record
AAUGGAGAUUGUUGACGGAAAAUGUCUCUGAUGCAGCUAGUUAGACGUGGUAACUGCAGAUAAUCACGUGGCUACCGGCUACCAGCGAAAACAACAGAGGAAAUCGGGAAGAGAGGCAGCCAGGUUCAUAAGACCGUACAUAAGGGAUAUAAGGAAGUUUUUUCAAAAAACAGGAGCCACAUUCAGCUUCAAAGAAUGGGACCCUGGUUAGCAGAAAAGCAAACAUAACCAAACAUACAGCUUCGCCAAGGCCUGAGUCUUUGCCUCAGCUGCUGCAGAGGAAUAAAUAAAUCAUGAUGCAAGUAAUAUCAGAAAUGGAUACCAAGCAACCGUUUCACUGACUAAAACUGGACGGAGUCGACAUGCCUGGUUUGGAAGACCAAAGACAGGAUGACGGAAAUGUUUAACAGGCUAUUGAUUAAGCAGUCGUGGAUGGAAGCAUCUAUAAGAGAAAAGCACUGACCUGGAGUGCUUAUUGAUAAUGUAAUAACUAGCAAUGUUUCUCCAAAAUAAUCUGGUCUUCCUACACAACUGCCCUCUAAAGAGCAAUUUCUCACAAGAAUAAACAUGUCCCAAUAUUAAAUAUCUUCUAACUUUUUCCAGUCAGUUAUUUCAAUAAUGUGUUAUAAACUUUGGAAGAAUAAAUAUGUUUCAAUACCUUCAGAUACGUGGCUAAUUUUCAUCUUUGAUUUUUUUUUAUGUUUCUUAAAUUUAAAAACUUCUAUAUUAACAUGCAAAAAAAUGAUUUCAUAAUCUGUUUAUUUUGUAUUAAUUCAAACUGUGUCUGUUCUUUGAAUUAUUGCGGUUUAAAGAUUCCAAUAAUAAACAGACACUUGUAACGUGUUUGUUAAAUGAUUAAACUUCUGAUAAAAACCCCAUUAGGUUUACAAGAAACCACUGAUCGAUCAGAAUCCACACAACGUUAUCGCCCCAAGCCAAAGAUGGAAGAGUCGGCAGCAUCACUGAAGGGGCAAAUUUCACUGGCUGACUGCCAGGUCCCACCCCCAGGCGUGUGCGGCUGUCCCGAGCAGGGGGUUUACCCUCACAGACGAGAGGUUUCCUUGAUGAAGACUUGGGGCAAAAUAUUUGCUGUUUAUUUGGAGUCUGCGCUUCAGAAACCGUUCAGUAAAUUACAUUUCUUGACAUAGUUUUGAGGGAUAUUUGCAAACUGUGAACCACUGAAACACUGACAAUAAAUGCAGCUGUUCUUUGUAGCAACAUUUCUUAGCUACUUUAGUGUACAGCUUGGAUUCUCAAUCUGUGUCUUUGGCUGACUUUCUUGCAUGCUGUGUCUCAUAUACUUCACUGAACAGAGUUUUUGGUAAGAAGGAAGGACACUUGAAUAUUUGUUCCCCUUGAAAGGUAAGGUAGACUUCUGUGAAGAUGC